AUGCACUGGGUGCGCCAGAGCCCCGGGAAGGGGCUGGAAUGGCUCGCUGGGAUCAGCAAAAGUGGUGGUACCACCUACUAUGCGCCAUCGCCCCUGUGGCUCCUCUGCCGCCCCUCCGGCUUCACCUUCGGCGACUACACCAUGUUCUGGGUGCGCCAGAGCCCCGGGAAGGGACUGGAAUGGCUCGCUGGGAUCUACAAGGAUGGUUCCAGCACCUACUACGCGCCGUGGGUGAAGGGCCGGUUCAGCAUGGCCAGGGACAACGGGCAGAGCUCGGUGACGCUGCAGAUGAACAACCUCAGGGACGAGGAUUCCGCCACCUAUUUCUGCACCAGGAGCUAUGAUGGUGGUGUUAAUUAUGCCGAUGAUUUUCCCAACCCCCUUCAAGGGGCCCCCAAACAUCCCCAAAUCCCGAGCCCUCCCCUCAAAUGUCCCUUCCACCCUUCACACCCAGCUCUCGCUCGUUGA
This is a non-coding RNA of Empidonax traillii (willow flycatcher), 468 nucleotides long. The record is from the annotation of a RefSeq genome assembly. NCBI's taxonomy places the organism in Eukaryota, Metazoa, Chordata, Aves, Passeriformes, Tyrannidae.